RNAcentral lists this ribosomal RNA (265 nucleotides) under uncultured bacterium. RNAcentral describes it as "partial 16S ribosomal RNA". It matches the Rfam family "Bacterial small subunit ribosomal RNA", at positions 793 to 1055 of the family's 1533-position model. The record is from RNAcentral.
GUCCACGCCGUAAACUAUCGGUACUAGAUGUCGGGCGGUCUUACCCGCUCGGUGUCGUCGCUAACGCAUUGAGUACCGCGCCUGGGAAGUACGGUCGCAAGAUUAAAACUCAAAGGAAUUGACGGGGGCCCGCACAAGCGGUGGAGUAUGUGGUUUAAUUCGACGCAACGCGAAGAACCUUACCUAGGCUUUACAUCCCGCGCAUAGCCAUGAAAGUGGUGAAUUCCCGCAAGGGACGCGGUGACAGGUGCUGCAUGGCUGUCGU